GCUGGGCAUGGUGUGCAUGCCUGUAAUCCCAGUUGCUCAGGAGGCUGAGACAGGAGAAUUGCUUGAGCCCGGGAGGCGGAGGUUGUGGUGAGCCGAGAUCAUGCCACUUCACUCCAGCCUGGGCGACAGAGUAAGACUCUGUCUCAA
This 147-nucleotide non-coding RNA is filed under the name Pan troglodytes (chimpanzee). The record is from Rfam by way of RNAcentral. Lineage: Eukaryota; Metazoa; Chordata; Mammalia; Primates; Hominidae.